Molecule: ribosomal RNA, 756 nt
Filed under: Matsucoccus macrocicatrices (white pine fungus scale)
Lineage: Eukaryota; Metazoa; Arthropoda; Insecta; Hemiptera; Margarodidae
Description: partial 28S ribosomal RNA
Rfam family: Eukaryotic large subunit ribosomal RNA
Source: RNAcentral
UUUUUGAGAUUUUUUAAAAUACGGAAACCGUUCGGGGGUAAACGGACAGAGCUCGCUAAUUCGAGCGGACGAAUUCAAAGCUGUCGAUAGAGGCUGGCCCUCAUUCGGCUGUUUGAUUUUUCGUUCGUUGCGUCUUAGACGUGGAACGUCGCAACUCGUUGGAUUCGUAGCAGAAGGGUCGCGUGCGUUGUUCGACGCGGUCGUCACGUUUUUCGCGACGUAUCGUGUCGAGUCGCUAGCGAUGCCGCGCUUCGAUAGUUCGACGGUAAGCGUAACAGCGUGCGCUUCGAGAUAUUCACGCUCGAAGCGUCGCUCGUUUGCGACGAAUAUUCGGGUCUCUUUCCGACCCGUCUUGAAACACGGACCAAGGAGUCUAACGUACGCGCGAGUCACGGGGUGUCGCGAACCACCAGGUUCGCGGUACGAGUGUAAACCCGAGUAGGCGAAAUGAAGGUGAGCGCGAUCGCUUCGCGAUCGCUGGGAUGACGGCGAUUCCAGCAAACGCUCGUCGACUUUGCGAAGUCGACGCGGAAAGCUCGCAAUCCCGGGGCGUUCAAGAUGGCGCGUCGGUGCGCGGUUCGCCGCGUAUUCGACGACCUAGGGCGCACCCGUAGCGUGUACGUUGGUACCCGAAAGAUGGUGAACUAUGCCCGGCCAGGAUGAAGUCAGGGGAAACCCUGAUGGAGGUCCGUAGCGGUUCUGACGUGCAAAUCGAUCGUCUGAGCUGGGUAUAGGGGCGUNAGAGUAUGACCCCCC